GGGCACUUGGCACAGUGGUAGCGCGCCUGCUUUGCAUUGACUGAUGCUUGCAUGAGGUCGAGGGUUCAAUCCCCUCAGUGUCCA
Abortiporus biennis is the source of this 84-nucleotide non-coding RNA. The record is from the annotation of a GenBank genome assembly. NCBI's taxonomy places the organism in Eukaryota, Fungi, Basidiomycota, Agaricomycetes, Polyporales, Podoscyphaceae.